Pelobates cultripes (western spadefoot toad) is the source of this 206-nucleotide non-coding RNA. NCBI's taxonomy places the organism in Eukaryota, Metazoa, Chordata, Amphibia, Anura, Pelobatidae. The record is from the annotation of a GenBank genome assembly.
CCACAACCCCCUCUUUUCACAGACAAGCCAGGAGCGUGCUUUUUGGGGAAAAGACACUUUCGACUGGGAGGAGCAUUCACACCCUAAGAGCUAGGGGGAGCAUUAGUUUAUAUUCACACACGAACUACCCAACGUUGACCGGCCGCAACCUAUUUCUCCUUGGAGUUAUUUUGGGCUACAACCACGUGGCCAGCUCGUCGGAACUU